RNAcentral lists this ribosomal RNA (433 nucleotides) under uncultured bacterium. RNAcentral's name for it is "bacterial SSU rRNA". It matches the Rfam family "Bacterial small subunit ribosomal RNA", at positions 355 to 786 of the family's 1533-position model. The record is from RNAcentral.
UGAGGAAUAUUGGUCAAUGGGCGGGAGCCUGAACCAGCCAAGCCGCGUGGAGGAAGAAGGUACAGAGUAUCGUAAACUCCUUUUGUCAGGGGAUAAAAGGCGCCACGAGUGGCGUUCUGAAGGUACCUGAAGAAAAACGCAUCGGCUAACUCCGUGCCAGCAGCCGCGGUAAUACGGAGGAUGCGAGCGUUAUCCGGAUUUAUUGGGUUUAAAGGGUGCGUAGGCGGUCUUUUAAGUCAGCGGUGAAAGCCCGGGGCUCAACCCCGGCGAGCCGUUGAUACUGGGAGACUGGAGAGGAAGAGAGGCAUGCGGAAUUCGCGGUGUAGCGGUGGAAUGCUUAGAUAUCGCGAAGAACUCCGAUUGCGAAGGCAGCAUGCUGGCUUCUGUCUGACGCUGAGGCACGAAAGCGUGGGGAUCGAACAGGAUUAAUACC